RNAcentral lists this ribosomal RNA (274 nucleotides) under uncultured bacterium. Its description in RNAcentral is "partial 16S ribosomal RNA". It matches the Rfam family "Bacterial small subunit ribosomal RNA", at positions 523 to 796 of the family's 1533-position model. The record is from RNAcentral.
CUACGGAGGGAGCAAGCGUUAUUCGGAAUCGCUGGGCGUAAAGGACGCGUAGGCGGGUUUGUAAGUCAGGUGUGAAAUCCUACAGCUCAACUGUAGAACUGCACUUGAAACUACAGACCUAGAGUAUGGAAGGGGCAGAUGGAAUUAGUGGUGUAGGGGUAAAAUCCGUAGAUAUCACUAGGAAUACCGAAAGCGAAGGCGAUCUGCUGGGACAUUACUGACGCUGAGGCGUGAAAGCGUGGGGAGCAAACAGGAUUAGAAACCCUAGUAGUCC